GAUGAACGCUGACAGAAUGCUUAACACAUGCAAGUCUACUUGAACUUCGGUUUGGGUGGCGGGCGGGUGAGUAACGCGUAAAGAACUUGCCUCACAGUUAGGGACAACAUUUGGAAACGAAUGCUAAUACCUGAUAUUAUGAUUUUAGGGCAUCCUAGGAUUAUGAAAGCUAUAUGUGCUGUGAGAGAGCUUUGCGUCCCAUUAGCUAGUUGGAGAGGUAACGGCUCACCAAGGCGAUGAUGGGUAGCCGGCCUGAGAGGGUGAACGGCCACAAGGGGACUGAGACACGGCCCUUACUCCUACGGGAGGCAGCAGUGGGGAAUAUUGGACAAUGGACCAAAAGUCUGAUCCAGCAAUUCUGUGUGCACGAUGACGUUUUUCGGAAUGUAAAGUGCUUUCAGUUGGGAAGAAAAAAAUGACGGUACCAACAGAAGAAGUGACGGCUAAAUACGUG
Molecule: ribosomal RNA, 454 nt
Filed under: uncultured bacterium
Lineage: Bacteria
Description: partial 16S ribosomal RNA
Rfam family: Bacterial small subunit ribosomal RNA
Source: RNAcentral